UGGCCGGGUGAGAAAUUUUUAUAGGCGCGGCCUAGUGAACAGCAAAAUUUCCAAAACAAGACGGUGAACAAGAUAUUUGACACCAGUAAUGAUGGUGACAACCACUAACCAAAAAUCUCGGACCAAUUACCUAGAGGAACGUAUCUUUUCCAGGCAUGGAUUCACAGACGCCACAUUAAUUCCCAUACUACCUUCUAGCAGAGGCCAUUACUUAUGGCUUAUUUUAAAGCCAAAUUGAUCAAUUCCAAGACCGAGACCACAUCUUCCAAUGGAGAAAUUAUGGGCUGUAGCUCCAACUUACAACUUGUUUCUGUUAUGUUUUGCAAGUCAUGUGAUCUGUUAUAUACAACUCAUGUGAGACUUAAAAAAUGGUAUAAAAAACUAGAAACCUAUCAUGUCUUCUGAGAGCAACAAGGUUGGAGAGAUGCUUCCAUGAUUUUGAAUUGUUAUCGACUGCUAGGAGUUCCGGUUGCUUUAUUGGGAAAAAUGUAUUUCGGAAUGGUAUAGGAACUGGGAGAUUGAGAAGCUUGCGAGGUUAUCUAAUGAGGUUAACACAUUUUAUGAGUUCUUCCUAUGUGACUCAGGACUGAAUAUCUUGCCUGAUGAUGGAUCAUGGAGUGUGAUCCAAAACAUUGAUGCAAAACACAUUCACAAUUGAAUCCAGCAGCAGAAACACAGACAGUCUCAUGGAUUGUGGAAAUCUAGUAACAUUUAAUUGCCUUGUUGUUUACAUAUCUGAUCUGGAGUUAGACCAUGCUUGGAUACAACAAGAUAUGUAUCAGUUAAUCCACAAAUUUUGUGCAAUAUUUUUAUAAGUAUAAAGUAAGGAUGUGACUGUGUUAUGUCUAGUUAGACACAGUUGUAUUCAGGAUACAAGGUACAGAUUACCCAGAUAGGCACAAUUAUAGCCAGAUGUGGGAGUUUCCCAUAUCAAUAAUUGUGUUUAUUUUAAAUAAAUUUUUAUUUAUAGCAGUUUUAGGAAAUUGUUCUUAUUUGCAAGGUUAUUUAUAUCAAAACUAAAUCGUUUUCUAGAAAUAAGAAAAAGUCCAAUGUUGUAUGUUAAUAUUUUUUUUCCUACAUUCACAUUUAUCUAUAUGACAUAUCAACAGCAUACCAUAUUCUGAAGUCCCAAAAAAACUUAGUAUCCUGGAAACUUGGCAAUUUGGUUAAAUGCAAAAACAACAAUUGUGUGGCAUAUUUUUUCUACUUCAAUAAGAACAAUGUUUCCUCCAAAAGCACUUUAAAAGGUUCUAGAAAACUCUUAUUCUAACCAUUUGAUUAACCUUUUCUUUUACCUUAUUUAACUUUUUUUUCUUUUCGGAAAAAAGGUUCAAGAGCUUUGUAUUAGUGUAUGUAAAAUUUAGAAUAAAACGAGGGCAAAUCAUUUAAGAAAACAAGUUGACAAUCUGUCCAUUAGGCAAAGCAUAUGGUAUAACCUUGGAGAGCAAUAUCAGCUCAGAUUAAAAAAUGAGUUAGAUUUCUGAGCAUCUAUCUUGAAAUAUGUAUAGCCAAGAGAUCAAUAACAUUGAAAAUAACAGCAUCUAAAGUACUAUAUAAGAAUGUAAAUGAUGCCAAUACAUAAGGACGCUCUGUAAGUCUAUGAUCUUCCCUUCAGGAGAAACAGGUCCAUUUUCUGGGGCCUGCAACAGGUCCUUUUACUUUGGAUCAGGUUCCUUCCUUCCUUCCACUUGAAGAAGGGGAAUCUUCUAAAAUCUAAAGAUUUUGAAAGAGAACUGGUUCUAAUAAUGGUUUCUCAUCAACUGUUGGAUACAUUCUUCUUCCUUAUUGAUAUAAUUGUACAACUGGAAAAUGCCUUCCGACAGAAGACUUUAGUUCCCAUGGUUCCCUAUUUUUCUAGCUAGAUGCAAGAUAGUUCCCUCCAGUUUAAUGUUUCCUUGCUCGUUUUUAAGUUACCUUUUUUAACUUAAAUACAAGGCCGGCCGGCCAUAUUUUCUUAAAUCUCAUAGUAGUUUCAAGAUGCAUGUCAUUAUCAAUGUCCCUGUCCUCUUGGUGACUUUUGAAAGGAAAAUUUUGAACUUCUUGGAUUGUAUCAUAUGCAAUCUGUCAAUAGUUUAAGAUGUGGUCAAAUUAAAAAUAUCAGGAAAGUAAUAGCUUUCUUAUCUGCACUUAAUUGAAAACUUUCAUGUUUCAACUGAUUCAGCGAAAUGUUCUCCAAAUAAAGUGUAAAAGCCAUUAAUGGGAUGAACAUUAAAUCAUAAUAACAGCAAAAAAUAUAACAAGAUCAAAAUUUUUCAGUGUACUAGUUUUGUCCACAAGCCCAAAAGCUCAAUACAAUUUCACACACAAGGAACAAUAAAUUACCUGUUCAGUAAUAUCCAUUCCCAUAUAAUUGACUCCAAUCGUCUCUCCAGUUUUGCUGAAAACAGGCUCUACAUAGAUUAAGAAAGUCUUUGUUCCAAACAACUCUGUUUCAAAUGUAAUUUCCCGCUUUGCUGGUAAUCCACGUUGUAAAACUUCUGCCUUGAAAUCUUGAGAUUCUUUUACACCAGCGCCAGUAAAUAUCUCAACAUCAGUUCUCCCUAUAAUAUCCUGCAAAAGAAAAUUGUCUCUCCAAACAAACUACUUCCAUGUCAGAUUAUUUCCACCAAGUGAAAAAGAAAACAACUUGGUGCGAAACACUUCUCCACAUGAAGCAGAAGUAGAAAAUGUGAAAUGCAAAGAAUAAGUGUUAGUCAAGCAUUGCAAGCUAAGUAUUUUGAAACAGCUUUAGACAUUCAUCAGUCCUGAGUUGGAACCUGAUAAAUAUCAAAAACUUUUGUGCAUUUAUGAUAUCUUGAUCUCAGGUACAAUUUAAUUUAAACUGUAAGAAAACAAUCUAAUUUAUCCUCAUAACUGUAAUGAUGGGAAUAUAAUUGUGCGCACAUGUCCAAACUAUAAAUAGAAUGCUGCUGUUUUAACUUAAUGAACGGCUAUUAUGGCACAAGCAAAUACGUCAUGCUCUUAUAAAAGUGAUGUUUCUGCAGUGCAUCAUUACACAAGAAGCAAGUUUGAAGCAAACAAUUGAAUAGAACUAUAAAUCAACAUGAAAAUUAUAAGUUAGGAGAAUAAAAAGGAAAGAUUGAACUGGAAGUAACUAGCACGUUCAGUUGGUUUGAAAACAAACUUUACCUCUUCUUGGAGACUUGGAAAAUGAUUGUAGAUAAAACGGUAGCGCAACUCCUUGUCCUAAAUAGUAAUAAUCCACGUGUAACAAAAAAAAAGGAAUAACAAUUAGAACCCCUUUGAAUCCAAACUGCUAUUCGGUUGAAAAUAAAGCAGUAGAAAAUGAAUUUUAACUAUCUUUUAAAAAGCAAUCCAUUGCUCUUUCCAUGUUUUGCUUCCUUUUUGUAUCUCACAGCAUGUAGAGGACAAAUAAUUUGUCUUCCAAAUUGAUAGUCAGGUGUUCCCAUAAUAUGCAAGGUACUGUUGGUUGACUAGAAAAGCAUUCAAAAAAAGAAAUUCCUCAUCUCUCAUAUCAAAGCUAAAAACUUCUCAACUUUGAGAAUAAAUAUUUCAAAGAAUGUGGUAAUUAUUCAUGUAUCAAAUUCAGUAAUUCAAAAAAAUCAAUGCUCACAUGGACGUUCAUCCUGUAUGCUGCAUGAAAUGCAGUAUUUACAUAGCUUUGCUCAAGAUCAAAAUAUAUUAGAGAAUAUUUUCAAUCUAUACAUCACAAUGUGGACAACUUUGCAUGUGUAAACUUCUUUUUUAGGGCUUGAUCAAACAAAAUAACCUUUUCCAAGCAAAUUUUUCCAACAGUAUUCUGCAGCUACAUGCCAAAUACUUAUAAAAUUAUAAAAAAGUCAAAUUUCAAUUGUAGACGUGUAUUUUACCAAAUUCAUUGUAUCUCUUAGGCAAAACUUCAAUGUGAACAGUUCUGUCUUCUGUCCCCUUGUGCUCAAGAGAUUGUAACUAAAAUAGAGUUCGUAUAAUUAACACUAGGACUAAAUAAUAGAGACGUUCCUAAUGAUAAGUUUUAAUGGACUGUGGAUACAUAUUAAAAAUGAGAGAAUUCGUUAAAAAUCACAGAUGGGAACUGGAAGAGAGAAGCACUCUUGAUAAGAGAUUUUAAAACAAUAUACAUUUAGGUUCCUUCAAUACUUAUAUUUUUUUAUUUGUGAUUUGACUUCCCAAAUUACUUCAUCGAAUGGUUGAAUCAUGACUAACAAUUUGAACAAGACGGAAGAAGUUUUGAUUACACAUAACACAAAAGGAAGUGGAUAAUGCGUAAAAAAUGCCAAUAAAUACCAUCAGAAUAGGCUGAUUUAUCUUUGUAUUGCAAAUUGAAAUUACCAAAUAAUAAUUAUGACUUAAAUUUAAUAAUAAAAUCUUAUUACCAAUCAAUACUAAUUGACUUAUAUAUAAGAAGCUUGUAGUUUUUGAAAAAAACUCUGAUCUUAGUGCAUAUUUACUAAAAUAGAACCUUCUCAUAGCAACAAAGUUAAACAAAACUUGAAAUAGAUUUUGGUAUUAUGUGAUCAAUUCUUUUAAAAACCAUAAAAGAUGAGGCAAUUCUACAUUCAAAGCUUUUGCCAUACUACAACAGGAAUUUGUAAAUAUUAUGGGAAAGAAACAAAAUAUAAUAUUGGUGACAGAUACCUGAUGGCCAAUGACGACUGGUGCAUUCUGUAGAAUGAAAUGCAAAAAAUUGUCUGCUCUCCUUAAAAUCUGAGAUAAUUCUUCUACUGGUGAAGUUUCCUUUGCCAAAACUCUUAGGUUUUCUUGCAGUUUCUCCUGAAGUUUGUUCUCUCUUUGAAGGCUUUCAUCAAGUAAUUUUUCCAUUUUUUUGGCCCGCUCCUUCCAAUACUCUAUAGAAUCAUGUUCAACAUCUAUUUGCCAUUUAUUUUUGCAAAUUGAAAUGUCUUUGUUAAAUAUUGGAGUUGCAUCUCCAAAUGCAUAGUCAUCUUGAAGAAUUGAAAUUGGCCUCUUGUCUCCAACAAAAUUAUCUGCCUCAAACAUAUGCUCCUCCAAAAUUUCGAGUUCCUUAAGUUGAGCUUCUUGCUUUUGCUUGUUUAAAAUAUCAAUUUGUUCAUUGAGAAGACGGAAGGCAUUGGCCUGUUUAUGCUCCCACUGCUUCACUAGGUAAGACAAUUGUGAAGACCCUUUCUCACUGAAAUUGGUCAAUUCCAUGAGACGUUUGAAAUCCACAAUAGAUGGUUCCUCCGCUAUUGAAACCUCAUCCAACAUAUCUUGAUCUGCAGCUGGUUUGUCUAUAUUAAACUGCUUGUCGGAUUCUUUCCCUAAAUUUUCUGGCCACAUUGAUGAUAAAAUUUCAUCAUCCAUAUCUGAAGAAUAGUCCUCUUCUUCCAUAUUGCAAUCCUUGAAGAAAUAUUAAAACCACUUCAGCAUGAAACUACUUCCUUGGAGUAGGAAUUACCAUUCAUUUCACAUAUACAUUAUGAAGUUCUCAUAUGUGAAGAAAAGGAUCAAUCCCAACCAUUGAAAAUUUUUUACAAGUCUUAUUUCCUUAACUGUUCCCUGAUGGCCAGGUUUUUACUGCUGGUUAUGGGCAAAUACUCUGCAGCAUGCUGUUUCUACUCCCACUACAUUUAAGCCUUAAAACACCAUCCCGUGAUAGAAAUCAAUCAAAUUCAUAAGCUUAUAUCCUGCACAGAAGAAAGUUGAACAACUGGUUAAAAUCCUUGAGUAAUAGGCAUCUAAGUUCUUAAAAGCAGAAAAAUUGACUGAAAUAUUCAUUGACAUUCAUGUAGUUGCUUAAGACAAUUCUGAAAAUGCAUUUCUAUAAACGUUUUCCCAGUAUCCUGAUUUUGUUUAAGUAUUCAUUAUUAUGUAAAGUUAAAACAAUCUGUAUGCCAUCCCCAAGGCAUUUACCAUCCUGCCUUAGAUAAAGUGAUAACUCCACAAUCAAAUUAAUAAACCGUCACCUGUUGGAAUAAAUGCUCCAAAAUAAACAUGUAUUAUCAGCUAAGUUCGAUGUGCUGUCAAACAUGUAUGUUAGUCUAUCAGUUAGCUGUCAAUCAACUACAAUUAGUUGUCAAACUCUUAGCAGUUUAAUAGGAAGUUUGUUGAGUUAUCUUGCACAUAUAAAUAUGUAACCUGGCGAUGAAUAAUUCGGAAGAGUUCUUCUGCAGUUCCAUUGUUUGAUUUUUAUUUUUGUUGUUGCUGUCAUAAUUCUAUUUUGGUAUUAGAGCCGUCCUAUCCUUUCCUGUUAAAGCCGUAGUUCUGCUUCUUCUGUGAAGUUCUAGUUUUUCUUUGCAAAGCACAUGAAGGCCAUAAGCCCGAGUUGUUAAAUCUGCAUUUAUAUGUAUAUAUAGUGUUUAGAGGAAAUCUGUGCAGCAUCAUAAGUUUGAGCCCCGUAGGUGACCAGCCUUUUGGCACAGUGAAAGAAACCAAAUCCAUAUUCAUGUGUGCGCAGUCUACAUGUAAGCAGCUUCGGCUAGCAGCAUAUGUGAUUGUAGUCAAGGCAAAUUAGGAGUUUGAGCCCAUUGCAUUUUUCUUUUGUUUUAACAGUUGUGUUUUUUGUAUCUUUGUUUCUAUGUUUAAAAAGUCUGAGAUAAAACCAUCCAGUAGUUCAAAACUCCGAUUUAAUUGAGUUGUUGCAAUUAAUAUCUGUUGGUUAGCUGAGCAUUUCUCAUUAACUGUUCUUGCUCUGGUGAGUUGUGGCGUGGUGAGAGUGCACUUUAUUGGAAGCGACCAUCAAAGGGGGAAUCAAGGGAAGCUGAGAAGCAGCAUUGCAUGUUCUUAGUUGAAGAGGAGCUGAAACUACAUGCUGAUGUUAGCAAAGAGAAUUGCUGUGGUGUAGCCAAUAAAGGUGAAGGCGGCCCAGUCUACUAGGUUUGAGAAGAAGACUCCUACCAAGUCAAAUCCUGUUGGCAUGGCUAUAGUUGUUGGCAUGGCUAUAGUUGUUGUUGAGGAACCACCAGAUAUAGAUAGUGAUGAUGAUUUCAUUGAUAAUGAAGCAUUUGUCUUAUUUUGAAGAGGCCAAUGUUUUUUUGAAGAUAGUAAAAGAUGCAAUAGAGGCUAGAUAGAUGCUCAAUAUUCUGAGGUGCUAACGGAUUGGAGGAACUAUACCUCAUUAAGGUUAUGAAGGUUAUGAGACAUACAUGUGAGGAUUGGUGUCCACUAGUUCAGGGGAGAUAGCUGGGAGUUCAGCAUCAUAUCUUUACGAGGGUGACGAGUCAACUGCAGAUGGUGUCCAAUGGUGUUGGGAACUUGGAUGAUAGCUGCAUGACUAUACCAGCACUUGGGAGUAACUUGAAAAAGUCUUACUAGUCUAUGAACUAGUUUUCAAAGAACAGCUUUUACACAAUGUAUUUCAUAUUACUUAAUGUUGUAAGUCAGCUUAUUAUUGUAGCUUUAAGACGGGGUGUUGGAAUAAAUGCUCCAAAAUAAACAUGUAGAUGUGUCUUGUUUGUUAUCAGCUAAGUUCAAUGUGCUGUCAAACAUGUAUGUUAGUCUAUCAGUUAGCUGUUAAUCAACUACAGUUAGUCAAUCAGUUAGCUGUCAAACAUGUAUGUUAGUCUAUCAGUUAGCUGUCAAUCAACUACAGUUAGUUGUCAAACUCUUAGCAGUUUAAUAGGAAGUUUGUUGAGUUAUCUUGCACAUAUAUAUAUGUAAUCUGGUGAUGAAUAAAUCGGAAGAGUUCUUUUGCAGUUC
Cryptomeria japonica (Japanese cedar) is the source of this 7614-nucleotide long non-coding RNA. RefSeq lists it as uncharacterized. NCBI's taxonomy places the organism in Eukaryota, Viridiplantae, Streptophyta, Pinopsida, Cupressales, Cupressaceae. The record is from RefSeq and is a predicted model, not a curated record. The transcript has 4 exons.